This 253-nucleotide ribosomal RNA is filed under the name uncultured bacterium. Its description in RNAcentral is "partial 16S ribosomal RNA". It matches the Rfam family "Bacterial small subunit ribosomal RNA", at positions 524 to 776 of the family's 1533-position model. The record is from RNAcentral.
UACGUAGGUGGCGAGCGUUGUCCGGAAUUAUUGGGCGUAAAGCGCGCGCAGGCGGUUCUUUAAGUCUGAUGUGAAAGCCCACGGCUCAACCGUGGAGGGUCAUUGGAAACUGGGGGACUUGAGUGCAGGAGAGAAGAGUGGAAUUCCACGUGUAGCGGUGAAAUGCGUAGAGAUGUGGAGGAACACCAGUGGCGAAGGCGACUCUUUGGGCUGUAACUGACGCUGAGGCGCGAAAGCGUGGGGAGCAAACAGG